This 466-nucleotide ribosomal RNA is filed under the name uncultured bacterium. RNAcentral describes it as "partial 16S ribosomal RNA". It matches the Rfam family "Bacterial small subunit ribosomal RNA", at positions 28 to 507 of the family's 1533-position model. The record is from RNAcentral.
AGCGAACGCUGGCGGCGUGCUUAACACAUGCAAGUCGAACGGAAAGGCCCAGCUUGCUGGGUACUCGAGUGGCGAACGGGUGAGUAACACGUGGGUGAUCUGCCCUGCACUCUGGGAUAAGCCUGGGAAACUGGGUCUAAUACCGGAUAUGACCAACUGUCGCAUGGUGGUUGGUGGAAAGCUUUUGCGGUGUGGGAUGGGCCCGCGGCCUAUCAGCUUGUUGGUGGGGUAAUGGCCUACCAAGGCGACGACGGGUAGCCGACCUGAGAGGGUGAUCGGCCACACUGGGACUGAGACACGGCCCAGACUCCUACGGGAGGCAGCAGUGGGGAAUAUUGCACAAUGGGCGCAAGCCUGAUGCAGCGACGCCGCGUGAGGGAUGACGGCCUUCGGGUUGUAAACCUCUUUCACCAGGGACGAAGCGUGAGUGACGGUACCUGGAGAAGAAGCACCGGCCAACUACGUG